This 1782-nucleotide long non-coding RNA is filed under the name Cairina moschata (Muscovy duck). RNAcentral's name for it is "domestica (muscovy Duck (domestic type)) lncRNA (ENSCMMG00000010000.1)". Lineage: Eukaryota; Metazoa; Chordata; Aves; Anseriformes; Anatidae. The record is from RNAcentral.
AUGGGACCAGUGGGACACUUUUACUGGAAGCCUAAAACAUGGCCAGUUAAGGUUCUCCUUAGAUUUCUCUGUGCCAUGCUGCCCCACGCUCUGGCCUUCCAAGGUGCUGCGCUCAUGCAGUCCAAGUAUUUUAGCCAUCCCCAAGGUACCAGCAAUUUGUGCAGACACAGAACUAAGAUCAUCUUUAUUGUGAUCACGUUGGUUAUUAAUGACAUAUUAUGGAGUUCACAUUUAACAUUUAACUCCCACGGAUGCUUGCAGCGAGAAGAGCUGAGGCCACCUCUCCACACACAACUCUUCACGGUCCCCAGAGGAGUAAGAGUGUGAAGCAUGCCAUCGCACACCCCUGCACUCUCAACCAGGGAGUGUUUCUCAUCCACAGCCCGUGUCUGUUAUUCACCACUGCAAAGCCAAGGCCCAUUCUCCUCCUGUCUGUGAGAAGGCAACACCCAAACAAGAAAAUGCGAGAAAAAUGUUUUUAACAUUUAUUUGUUCUUGGACCUCCCUCACAGCCUAGCUAAGCUAAUGAAGCUAAAAUAUUUAAUCACCUCAUGCUUCUAUUAUAAAACUCUUCUGUUUUGAACAAAUGGAAAAACAAUGGGGCUGUAAACCUGGUGUUCUGCUUCACCAAAUAACUGCUCACAGUCCCUGGUUUCAAGGAACCUGACGCAUCUGGCUCAGACAUGGAGCAACAUGCUCUCUUUCCCUCCGGUGACUCAUUUAACAUCUCCUCAAGGAAAAAUUACUACUACUGGAACAGCAAAAACAGCCUCCUAGGCAUUGUUAUGAUCAGCUGUGUAGAGAGGAGCUGGAAAGGACAAAGCAGUGAGAGUGAUGUCUGGGAGUGUGGGGAUACCACUGGGGUGGGAGAGGUCCGUGGAUGGGCGGACCACUGCUCGUGACUGUGACAAGAAGCUCCUCUCUGGCCUCUGCCACAAGACAGUUUUGCAUUUGCCCCAGCCAGAGGAGAUGGUUAUCUUCCUUGUUGCAACAGCGGGUGAGCUGGCUCCAACCCUUGUGCCACGGUCUGCCCGGGGGAGGCAGUCGGCCUCGCUACCGGGGCUGCCGCAGCAGGCCGAGGCCAGGUGAAUCAUCUCUUUGAUUCGUGGUGAUCUUCCUUACCGCACUUAUGACUUUCAGGCUGGGUUUUAGGCUCUUCCUCUGGUCAGCGAGGCCUUCCAGAGGGCAAGCUAGCCCUCCACAAUACACUUGGCUUUAGAUGGGAGGGAGGAGGCUUGCCCUCUGCAGACAGCAGCCUCUCCUCACAGCAAAACAGCUAAAGUGAGUUAUGGCUUCUCAGGCAGCGGAAUGCAAAAUUGUCAGCCUCUUGGCAUGUGGGUGACUGCCUGUAUAUCUCAGAGACACAGCUCACAAAUCCAUUCGGAGGGCUUUUAUGCUAAUAAAGCUCUGGUUUUCCUCAGGAACUAGUCAUUGCUGCCAGUUCAGAAAUCUUUAUUUUAGCUUUUGUUUUGGAUUUUCAAAGCCUGCUUUGUCAGUGGAAAUGCACAUCCUCCUGACUGCGGCACAGAAAGCGCUGCUGACAAUUAUUUUUCUGUUACGACACAUCGCAUCAGGUGGUCCUAUCUCAGCACAGUAGACAGCUGAUGGGUGGGGAAGAGAAACUGAUAUAGCCUAACCAUGAGGUCUUGCUGCCUGCCUGGGAAAUAAAGGACACCGAAAUAUAACUGCGUGGGAAGGACUUCCAAGAAGAAUUUGUCCCAAACCAUUUCUGGAAACAGAUGAUAACAUUAUUUACCCAAAUACAGGAAGCUUGAGAUUGCA